GGGAUAUCGAGAAUGUGGUAUCUUUUCAGUCUUCUUACUGUUAGGCUAUUGUCUAAUAGACUUAAGGCUAAAUUAUUUUCGUGGUUGUGGAGUCUGUCGAUGUAUUUCUUACUAGUUUUCUUUAUUUCUUCUUUAAUGGUUGGAAUAUUCAGAUCUUUGUGGAUGUUUGCAUUAGAUACGUAAAACGGAGCAUUGACAAUUUGUCGCAAAGUUUUUGAUUGGUAACGCUGAAGUAUCUCAAUAUUUGAGUUGUUAGCAGUUCCCCAAAGCUGUAUAGCGUAGGUCCAAACAGGCUUCAGGAUGGAUUUGUAGAGGCGAAUUUUGUUUUCCAAAGUGGUUUCUGAUUUUCGACUUAUCAGCCAGGACAUUUUUAGUGUUUUAAGUCUAAGUUGUUGACAUUUUGCUUUAAUGUGGUUUUUCCAUGUUAAUCUGCGGUCGAGAUGCAAGCCGAGAUACUUCACACAGGUACUUUGUGGAAUUGGUGAGCCGUUAAGUGUAACAUUUGGGCAGUUACCUGGUCUUAAUGAAAACGUUAUUUGGACGGAUUUCAGGGAGUUUAUUCUAAUUUUCCAUCGAAGGAACCAGGCUUCAAUUAGGCUUAGCUCACUCUGCAGGAGUUCAGAAGCUUCAUUUAUAGAUGUGCUUGUGGCUAAAACGGCUGUAUCAUCAGCAUAUGUUGCAACAGUGCAGUUGUUUGUAACUGGCAUGUCGGCCGUAUAUAGGGUGUAGAGAAUUGGUCCCAAUACGCUUCCUUGUGGGACGCCUGAGUUGAUGAGAAGUAGUGAUGAACUAUCGGUUUUCUGCUGCACGUAAAAGCAUCUUUUAGCCAGAUAUGAUUUCAUUAAUAAAUAGUACGGAGCAGGUAGCCAUUUCUUUAUCUUGUACAACAAACCUUUGUGCCAG
Molecule: long non-coding RNA, 903 nt
Filed under: Drosophila guanche
Lineage: Eukaryota; Metazoa; Arthropoda; Insecta; Diptera; Drosophilidae
Source: RNAcentral